GUCGAGCGAACAGAUGAGGAGCUUGCUCCUCUGACGUUAGCGGCGGACGGGUGAGUAACACGUGGAUAACCUACCUAUAAGACUGGGAUAACUUCGGGAAACCGGAGCUAAUACCGGAUAAUAUAUUGAACCGCAUGGUUCAAUAGUGAAAGACGGUUUUGCUGUCGCUUAUAGAUGGAUCCGCGCCGCAUUAGCUAGUUGGUAAGGUAACGGCUUACCAAGGCAACGAUGCGUAGCCGACCUGAGAGGGUGAUCGGCCACACUGGAACUGAGACACGGUCCAGACUCCUACGGGAGGCAGCAGUAGGGAAUCUUCCGCAAUGGGCGAAAGCCUGACGGAGCAACGCCGCGUGAGUGAUGAAGGUCUUCGGAUCGUAAAACUCUGUUAUUAGGGAAGAACAAAUGUGUAAGUAACUAUGCACGUCUUGACGGUACCUAAUCAGAAAGCCACGGCUAACUACGUGCCAGCAGCCGCGGUAAUACGUAGGUGGCAAGCGUUAUCCGGAAUUAUUGGGCGUAAAGCGCGCGUAGGCGGUUUUUUAAGUCUGAUGUGAAAGCCCACGGCUCAACCGUGGAGGGUCAUUGGAAACUGGAAAACUUGAGUGCAGAAGAGGAAAGUGGAAUUCCAUGUGUAGCGGUGAAAUGCGCAGAGAUAUGGAGGAACACCAGUGGCGAAG
Molecule: ribosomal RNA, 677 nt
Filed under: uncultured Staphylococcus sp.
Lineage: Bacteria; Bacillati; Bacillota; Bacilli; Caryophanales; Staphylococcaceae
Description: bacterial SSU rRNA
Rfam family: Bacterial small subunit ribosomal RNA
Source: RNAcentral